CUUUGCAGCAGAGCAAGCUCAAGGGCUACCAGGUAUCAGUCCACCAUAUACAAUAAUCCUGUGGAGUAGUGUCCACCUUCAAAGCAACCUAUUCGCCUCGUUCACUGUGGCUUCUUUUUUCAUGGUUUUUUGAUACCAAAUUUGUGAGAACAUGCUUCCACCAAUGUUUUGGUAUGUCACUAGCAAAUGCAACAACUAACAUAGCAUUGAUGGAUUAGACAUCUUAGUUUCUAAUUGACUAAAGAACACAGCUUUUUCGUUUACUGUUGGUAUUUAAGCAAUUUAAUGUCCUCUUAGGCAGAUUUGGAAACUUCAAAGGAAGGUCUUGAGCUAUAAUAAGCCAUUGAUAAUUUGACUGCCUUUAGGUUUAACUCAUCCCCUAGGGUUGGCUGUAAUCAAGUUGUGUUGGUUGUUUGUCCCAGUAAGUUGUGAUAUUUUAAGGAGGAUUUGCAUCUUGGUCUCUCCAAAAUUUGAUACUCAUUCCUUUGUUAUUAUCUGAAUUAUUUUUAUUCAAUCGCCUCUCCUUUCCUGAAUCAA
Cajanus cajan (pigeon pea) is the source of this 537-nucleotide non-coding RNA. NCBI's taxonomy places the organism in Eukaryota, Viridiplantae, Streptophyta, Magnoliopsida, Fabales, Fabaceae. The record is from RefSeq and is a predicted model, not a curated record.